Molecule: long non-coding RNA, 1221 nt
Filed under: Cicer arietinum (chickpea)
Lineage: Eukaryota; Viridiplantae; Streptophyta; Magnoliopsida; Fabales; Fabaceae
Description: long non-coding RNA (CARI_LNC002104)
Source: RNAcentral
GUCAUACAUACACUACCAUGAUCAACUUUACACAAUUGUUCAAAUUUUGAUUAAUAAAGUCCACAAAAUGAUUAAUGACUUCGAACUAAGUAACUUGGUCAUUUUUAAAUUUAGUCAUUUGUGUAGUUGAUUUCACACCCACCAAAUUAGACAUCCUUCCUAGACACAUGUAGUCAUAAUCAUUUACUUGAAUACAACACCUAAUACACCUUUACUACUAAAUGAAAUAGUCUUAUGAAUUAACAAGACUCCAUAAUAGCAUUUAAAUGAUCAAGCUCCCAGCAAAAUGGAGGCUAGUGUGAGUGAAUCCUAAGACCUCUUCUGCUGUAAAUAAACCUCAAUGAUAUGAUCAAGCCAGCAACAAUGGUUAAUACAGUUCCAACACACUGCAAUGCACUUUUUUAACAAGUGACCAAGACAACAAAAAGGUGAAUUCUAUGUCUAAACUCCUUAAUUGUAUCACUUUCUAAUUCAACAUCCAAUUCAAAGUAAUCUAUAUAGAACUUCAUUUAAACAUACGGACUCCAAUCAUAAUUUGUGAAUUUAAUCGGGUAAACAACAACAAAAUCAACACCAAUAAAUUUUAACAAUCCAAAAUUUGCAUAUAUAUAGACAUACUACCAUAUUCAAUCUUAUACAAUUGAUCAAAACAACCACAAAAGAGACCAACAAAUGAUUGUGAUACACAUGCCACCAUGUACAUUCUUACAAUAACUUAAAAAGAUGCUCACAAUUAAAUUACAAAACAUUAGUUUUCUUCUUUUUUACACACAUCUUCUAAAAUAACGUCAGAGUGAACACAUACUUUGGACAUGUUUCAUUGAUUGUUACUCCUUUCUUGAUUGUGUCAUGCUCAUGAAGCAACCAAACUCACAACAAAUACACUAGCAUGAGAAAGUAUAUAACAAUCAACAUAUGCCUAAAAUAAACCAAUUAAAUGCAAACAUGAAGAUUGAAAAAUUGAUAAAAUCUUACCUGCUAUGGGUGAAGCUACCCUUAGUUAUGGGGUAGCUUUGAAUACCCCAAAAUAUAUGUUUUUUUUUUUUGAAAUAAGCAAGUAUAGUUUCAUACUUAACUAUUCAAAUAAUAUAUAUUUAGCUACUUCAAAUAAAUUUAUUAGUUAAAAAUUUAGAAUAAACAAAAAAGUAAAAAGAUUAUCACUUAAUUAAUAUAUCUAUUUGUAUUAUUUUGACACUUUUAAUAUCUACUGUAACUACAAAU